GUGUCAGCAGCCGCGGUAAGACGAACCGUGCGAACGUUGUUCGGAAUCACUGGGCUUAAAGGGCGCGUAGGCGGCUUCCCAAGUCCGGGGUGAAAUCUUUCGGCUUAACCGGAAAAGUGCCUUGGAUACUGGGAGGCUCGAGGGGGGUAGGGGCAAGCGGAACUUCCGGUGGAGCGGUGAAAUGCGUUGAUAUCGGAAGGAACGCCGGCGGCGAAAGCGGCUUGCUGGACCCCAUCUGACGCUGAUGCGCGAAAGCCAGGGGAGCGAACGGGAUUAGAUACCCCGGUAGUCCUGGCCCUAAACGAUGGGUACUAGGUUGUGGGCCUGACAUGGGCUCCCAGCCGGAGCAAAAGUGCUAAGUACCCCGCCUGGGGAGUAUGGCCGCAAGGCUGAA
Molecule: ribosomal RNA, 394 nt
Filed under: uncultured bacterium
Lineage: Bacteria
Description: bacterial SSU rRNA
Rfam family: Bacterial small subunit ribosomal RNA
Source: RNAcentral